RNAcentral lists this ribosomal RNA (485 nucleotides) under uncultured bacterium. RNAcentral's name for it is "partial 16S ribosomal RNA". It matches the Rfam family "Bacterial small subunit ribosomal RNA", at positions 28 to 523 of the family's 1533-position model. The record is from RNAcentral.
GACGAACGCUGGCGGCGUGCUUUACACAUGCAAGUCGAACGGUGAAGGCGGAGCUUGCUCCGCCGGAUCAGUGGCGAACGGGUGAGUAACACGUGGGCAACCUGCCCCUCACUUCGGGAUAACUCCGGGAAACCGGGGCUAAUACAGGCUCCGACCUCCUGGGGAAUCCUUGGAGGUGGAAAGGUUUUCGGUGAGGGAUGGGCCCGCGGCCUAUCAGCUUGUUGGUGAGGUAGUGGCUCACCAAGGCGACGACGGGUAGCCGGCCUGAGAGGGCGACCGGCCACACUGGGACGGAGACACGGCCCAGACUCCUACGGGAGGCAGCAGUGGGGAAUAUUGCGCAAUGGGCGAAAGCCUGACGCAGCAACGCCGCGUGCGGGAUGAAGGCCUUCGGGUUGUAAACCGCUUUCAGCAGGGAAGAAGCCGCAAGGUGACGGUACCUAACCAGAAAGCCACGGCUAACUACGUGCCAGCAGCCGCAGUAA